GUUUGCCGGUGAUUUUGUGGUCAAAGCCCAGCCAGCUGAAUUUGAUCUUGACACUGAGAAAUAACAGUGGGGGAGCAGGAAGCUUUGUGACUUAUACAUAUUUCCUGUGUGUCACUGUGUAUAUCUAGGACAAUACUCACGUGUAGUCCAUAUCCUCUGGUCCUGGGAAAGGUUCCAGGGGCCAGUUGAAGAAGCAGUUCAGGAAGACCAGUCCAGCACAAGCUGCCCACACGACCAGAAUAGUAAUGAAUGGAAAGGUGACAGCAGAGGAGGCAUAGGAGCCAAUCAUCAGGGCGAUGAAGGUGGAACGCAGGUCCCCGAACAUGUUUGGCAACUGGUGAAAGAGACAGACAGUUGGCACAAUUAGCCAGCCGUUCAUCCUCAGAAGCCCGUCCAGCGGGACCAGGGGCGUCAUCUCCACCCCGCCCCCCAGGGCACCCACGGCGCCUUC
This is a long non-coding RNA of Hippocampus comes (tiger tail seahorse), 451 nucleotides long. RefSeq lists it as uncharacterized. The transcript has 4 exons. The record is from RefSeq and is a predicted model, not a curated record. NCBI's taxonomy places the organism in Eukaryota, Metazoa, Chordata, Actinopteri, Syngnathiformes, Syngnathidae.